Molecule: long non-coding RNA, 678 nt
Organism: Phascolarctos cinereus (koala)
Lineage: Eukaryota; Metazoa; Chordata; Mammalia; Diprotodontia; Phascolarctidae
Source: RefSeq, a predicted model, not a curated record
UCCGCCCACCCGGCCCAGCGAGUUUGAGCCCCACGGGGUAACUCCAGUCCCUCUUUCUAAGAGUUGGGUUGUCGGCUCCCACUGGCGCAGACAUUCCGGCUUUGGGACAGGGGAGAGGAGCCGAGGUCAGGGAGCCCGGCCCCCGGGGGACAAAGGGCUCAGACGUCAAUAAGCCCGAGAGACCAGUCUAGAGGACUCCGGCUGGCUCCCCAGAUUAGGAGUUGGGGAGGUCAAAGAAGAGGAGAGGAGAGCCAACUGGGUCUGCGGGAAGAUCUGGUCUGGGUGCUUCCAAGAUCAAUUCAACCAGCAUUUAUUAAGCCCCUUCUUGUUUGCAAGGUACUGGGAUAGGAGCUGAAGAAAAAAGAACAGAACCAAUAUGGUCCUUGCCCUCAAGGAUCUUACCUUCUUCUGGGGAGGUACAACAGGCGAACAAUGCAGGUCUCAUCAAAGAGUUUGCGCUCGAUGUCGAUGUAGUGGGACCAGUACUUGCUCUUGAGGAAGGCGGCCUGGGUGAAGCAGGGCCGAACUGCCCGGACGAUGAAUGCCAGGAGUGUGGUCAGCAGCACGAAGCUCCAGCCCAAAGCCUGAAAGGACCCCAAGUGGAGGGGUCCUGUUGAAGAAGAUCAGGAAGUGAGGGAGACACCCGAGAGCUCACCUGGGAGAUGCAGCGCAAAUAUC